UUAGACCUCAAAUCAGUCAGGACUACCCGCUG
Molecule: ribosomal RNA, 32 nt
Filed under: Sakaguchia oryzae
Lineage: Eukaryota; Fungi; Basidiomycota; Cystobasidiomycetes; Sakaguchiales; Sakaguchiaceae
Description: partial 26S ribosomal RNA
Source: RNAcentral